Sebastes umbrosus (honeycomb rockfish) is the source of this 917-nucleotide long non-coding RNA. RefSeq lists it as uncharacterized. NCBI's taxonomy places the organism in Eukaryota, Metazoa, Chordata, Actinopteri, Perciformes, Sebastidae. The transcript is spliced from 2 exons. The record is from RefSeq and is a predicted model, not a curated record.
GUGGGCCUUUCUUUUAGGUGUCUAAAAUAAAUUUUGCGGCUGGCCUCGUCCACAGCAGUACAUUGCUUUGGUUACAUGCGAUAACUCCUGUCUGCUUCUCCAAACCGGGGGUGUGCCGACCGUCAUCUGAAUUCAUGUAUUUCAUGUUUCAAUUCAAUUGCUUUAUCUAAGUCAGUAUGGCCCUCUGGAAAAAAAAAUGUUACCCACCCCUGAUAUAGAGAGAUAAUUACUGAAUUAUUUGCUUGGAUAGGUAUCAAUUUAACACUCUCCUUUCCCCUAUAGUAGCAGCAAAUUACAUAAACCUUUGAAGUAAACUUUCCAGGAAAUUUGGAAAUUGAUUUGGAAAUUUCAGACCUGUAUGUUACAGAAAUACCGGACAUACAGUCUGCAAAAUGUCCAGAUAUGUUUGGAAAUAUUACACAGUCCUCUGUAAAGAUGUAUGACUUGUAGAGUCACUGACAUUUCAUGUGAUGAGUUGUUAAAGAAACAUUUUCACCUAAAGUGUUUGAUUUAGUUUAGGCAACAUCAGACGACUGCACUGAAAUGUUCAAGUCCAGAAAUGAAUUCUGCAAUUUUUUGUCUUUUAAAUAAACGGUAAAAUCUUCUCUUCUUUUUGACAACAUUAACAGUAUAUAGUAACACAUGAUAUGAAGCGCAGAGGAAACUUUUGGCCAAUGCAACAUGGGAUAAAACUCUUGUACAUUUUGUACAGAUGGUUUUGAAUUCUCCAGAGAACUGAAGUAUAAAGUUAGUGGUACUUGAAUGAUUAAAUAAGCUUUUGUAUAUGCUGUUCUUUGUAUCCUACAGUAGUUUUAGCCCAUUUUAUAUUGCCUCUCUGUAUACCAGUAAACAUGUACUGUAUAUUCUACCUGUAAUAUGUAAGAACUUCAAUAUACAUGGACUGAGGAUUCAUCACC